AAAGGGAGACCUAAUUCCGGUAGGAGACGAAAAAAAAGUAGUCCCUACCAAGAAUCAAUCCCAAAAGGUCGGAACGAGGUAUGAGGCUUUCAAACUAGGUUCUGGGUUCAUAAAAGACCUGAAUCAGGAACAAGGGCUAUUAGCUCAGGUGGUUAGAGCGCACCCCUGAUAAGGGUGAGGUCCCUGGUUCGAGUCCAGGAUGGCCCACCUGCACAGGUGGCAAAAACAAGAGAAACGAGGAAUCAGCACCUUAUCUUACUUACAUAGUAAGAGAGAAUGCUGGCUCUGAGUAAAGAGUCCAGAGGAACCUUGAAAACUGCAUAGAGCUAGGUGAAAAAGCCAAAAAAGAAGACCGCAAG
Molecule: transfer RNA, 359 nt
Filed under: uncultured Microcystis sp.
Lineage: Bacteria; Bacillati; Cyanobacteriota; Cyanophyceae; Chroococcales; Microcystaceae
Description: partial 16S-23S ribosomal RNA intergenic spacer
Rfam family: tRNA (bases 134-207)
Source: RNAcentral